AAACCAGAAACGAACGAACACGGCCAGAAGAACUCCGAAGGGCUGCUUUCGGAACUUGCGAGGAUAUACGACGGUAUCAUACAGCUGCAUCAGUCUUCUUUCGUUUGUCGGAGGGGUGAAUUUCAGUUUUGCAAGUGAAGCGCGUGAUACAUAACCGUUUUUACAAGUUUUGUUUGUUUGUGUUUGAAGAACUAUUUAUUCAGUGAUUUUGGUUGUUUUGUGGGAACAAUGCUGUUCGAAAAUCCUCCCGGAAAAUUGUUUUCUCCUUACAGUGUGCCACCGCCAGUCUUACCGCCGCCUAUACACGGAAUCCAUUGUCCAACGUUCACAGUCAUACAGCAAGACAGGGAAAGCGCUGGCAUGGGUGAAGGCAACGGCAUGAUGGAUCCUCAUGAACUUACUUUGGUGCCCAUCAACGGCAGCCACUCAGGCUCCUCUGGUAGAAGCACACCAAACGCAUCGAAUGAUCCAGCUCCUGGAAAACUGUUUGUGGGAGGCUUAAGUUGGCAGACUUCCAGCGAAAAAUUGAAAGAAUACUUCGGGAUGUUCGGCAACGUUACAGAUGUCUUGAUAAUGAAGGAUCCAGUUACACAGAGAAGUCGAGGUUUCGGUUUCAUCACAUUCUCAGAACCAUCAAGUGUAGAGAAAGUACUGAAGGUUCCAAUACAUACAUUGGACGGAAAAAAGAUUGACCCAAAACACGCAACACCCAAAAAUAGACCAAAGCAACCAAACAAGACUAAAAAGAUAUUCGUAGGAGGCGUCAGUCAGGAUACAUCAGCCGAUGAGGUUAAAGGCUAUUUUAGUCAAUUUGGGAAAGUAGAGGAGACUGUAAUGUUAAUGGAUCAGCAGACCAAAAGACACAGAGGAUUUGGAUUCGUAACCUUCGAGAGUGAAGAUGUUGUUGAUAGAGUUUGCGAAAUACAUUUUCACACUAUUAAAAACAAAAAGGUGGAAUGUAAAAAAGCACAACCCAAAGAAGCAGUUCAAGCUAGUGCUCAUUUAUUAGGUAAACGACUAAUGCUCACCGGAUUGGGCAUGCGUGCCAUAGCUCCCGCACCAGGAGUGUUAGCCACAGUUAACCCCCUAGCAACAGCUCAAGCGCAAGCACAUGUACAAGCCGUACAAGCUGCCGCAGCAGCCGCUCAAGCCCAGCCUCUCGCAUUAGCGACUUACGGAAAACUGUUUGGUACCUACCCACAUUUGGCUAGUUACCGCUAUUCACCUUAUCCGAUAACAGCAGUCAGUGCAGGCGCAGCAGCCACACAGAACCCUGCUCAAGCACCUGCAGCUCAUACGCCUGCACCCCCCACAAUGGCGCCCCCAGUCGCUGCUAGCCCUUACCAAGGCUACAAUCUCACAAAUGUUGAUAUGUCAUCGUUUCAGGGAGUCGACUGGGGAUCCAUGUACGGUGUCGGCAUGUAUGUCUAAGUGUUCACACAUUUGUUAUUUAGGUUUCUUGUGUUAGGUUAUUGUGAAGGACUUCCAUGAAAAUAAACGAUACAUUUCCAACAGAGGAAGGGAUACUGCAUCUACCAAAUACGUCAAGUUCCUUUUGCGACUUCUAGCCUUAUUUUAUUUCUUAUUUUAUCAUACAUACUGAAGGUACUGCCAUUGUAUGCUUGAUAAGGCAACCUUUCCUAUAACUUUUAAUAACAUGUGCCAUAUUCAUAAAUAAUCCCAGUAUGUUGUAUGUUUCAAAUUUAAAUAGUUGAUAAUUUUCCUUUUUAUUUUAUUUCUUUAUUCUAUUACUUUUUUUUGUAAUUCACUUACUGUAUGGUAUGUUUUAAAUUGUACAAUUUUAUGACCAAUGCUUUCUCUUCAACUCAAAGCCUAAAUGGUUCUCAAUACACUUUUGCGCAAGAUAAUAUUUAUCUAUGAUAAAUAAACUAUAUGUUAGUAGAUGUAAAAUACCCCUUCCUUUUCUUAAUUGUCAAUGGCAGCGGCUCGUGCCUACUUUUCAAUGGUAUUAUUGAUGAUGCUACAGUGGUGAUUUUUUUCUGUACAUAGAAUCACAUUGCCACAAUGCUGUCGGGCAGUUUUUCUAAAAGCAUCACACACAUUGCGCUUACAACUAUUUCAAAAUACUCCUAGAAAUAAUAUCUAGUCGAGAACUACUCGUAUUCGGCCAUAAACAGGUUAAACGCCUUCAAUUAUGGUUCUUGUAGUACUCGACUGUCGGUUUUGAUGCCGUCUUUCUGCUCAUCUAGCAUCUCGGCAAUAACUCGCAAUAAUCAGUAUUAAAUUUUUGAGAAAAAAUAAAUUGCCGUUUUGUUUUAAUUAUUUUCCGUAUGAAAAAAACUCUUGAUAUUCCUGUCAUAUGGCAAUAAUUAUAACUUAUUUAUAAUGGAACAUUAAAAAAAAAAGGUUGUGUUGAGUGUACUUAAGUUAUUAUACCUUAGUACUUAGAUGGGGCUGGAAAGGAUUGUUCUUUCGAAUAAACAGAAUAAUCCAAUACACAUCGUAUAUCGAAGUCUAUACUUUAUUUUACGUUAAGAACGAAACGUUUGGCUUAUGCAGAUCAGUGUUGCCAAGGUCGACAUAAGAUUCAUUCUCGACACGAUAGAAGCGGCAUCGGCGCGGUUCUAUCGUCCAUAAGAAAUACACGGCCCUAUCUACGCAAUGUUCCGUUCUUAAGGUGAAACGCUCUAUAGACACCAUUCUGUACGUAAUAUACAGAUAUUUUUUAUUGGAAUAUUCUGUUUACACACUUACUUAAGUAUAUCAUUCAAUCAAUACUUUCCAAUCCCUGUACUUAAUUUAUUGUAUUUCACCAUUUUUGACUGAUAGGACGGUACUUAUACAUUAGUAAUUAUUUUAUGAGUUAGUUUUUCGAUCGAGUUCAUCACUUUAUUCACUAUUUAAUGAUAUUAAUUUUAUUCAAAGGAUCUCAUUCAUUCGAAUUUUUAGUGUUAUAUUCGAUGUGAUCUAUUUACACAAAUGGAACCAUGUUUUAUAUACUUAAAAUAUCUACAGGGUAGUGAAAUGAUUAUUUAAAUGUAAUGAGGAGUGUAGUUUCUACACCACUGUAAUAAAAAGAUGGAUCUGAUUAUUCAUAAUCUUGGAAUAUUCUUCAUAAAAUAUAUUAUUAUGAAUUACCUAAUUUAACUAAUAUGUGAUUUUUCUACUUAAACGUAACUUAGGUAUACUACUCACAGUACUUAGAUUUAUGUUUUGAAGGGACCUGGUAUUUACCAAUAUUAGGUCUGUCCUUUGUAUAUGAGCAAUUAAAAGACAUACAUAACUUUAUAUAAUCUUAAAACGAAUAUCAGAUCUGCUAUUCCUUUUUCUUUUUUUAUGACCUGUGUUUACUGGGUUAUUUUUAUUCAUUUUUGCGAUUCUGAUGAGCCGCUGUCGCGUCAUUUGUUCGGUAGUUUUCUUGGUAAACCUCUUCCUGCAGACCAUUCGUCUCUUACAAUCGUGACUAUUCUGUUAUCCUGCAUUCGCGUUAUAAUGUUAAUUUCAGUUCUUUCUUCUUUCUCACUCACAUCACACCACAUACUAUAUCCCCGUUUUUUAUGCAGUCACACCUAGUUUUCUAUUACCAAAUCAAAUAGGAGUGGGCAUAAUAUUACUCGCUUGUGUUAUUCUUGUCUUUAUUAGUAUUUCUUCAAUUAGUGUUCCAUCAUUUUUAUUUUAUCUAGUCAGAAUUAAUUUUUGUGUAAUUGUGAUCAUUUUAGGAGGUACUAUUUUUUAAGUGUCACUACUACCUUUGGUCGAACGCUUUUGUUAAAUCUAGGAAGCUUAUGGAGGAGAACUAUGGCAUUCCAUGGCUUUUCUACUAGCUUACGAAUUAUAAACAUAAAAUCUGUUGUCGAUUUCUUCUUUCGAGAUUCCUAUUUUUCUUCAUAUCUAGGAAUCAUAACUUUUCAGCUGUAAUUUAAAAAAAAUAUUUUUUCCAGCAUUCUCCAUAGUUCAUUAGGUUUUUUCCUGUUUUGAAUAUCAGUUUAGCGAUGCAAUACAAUUUUUUAUUAUUUAUCUUGCUAACAAAUGGUCGUGCGUACUUAAUUUUUAUUUUGAUUCUAUUCUAUUCUCCCAUUUUGAUCCCAUAUGUUUUUCUUCUUUGGGGUUUCCUUUUCUCUUUAUACAUUUUUAACAAAUUUCGUAUUUUUUCAGAUUUAACAUUAACCUGUGACUAUUUACCUACUUUUUUUAAUUUUUGUUAAUGCUACUUCAUUUUUUGAUGUUAACUCUCUUUAUAUCACUGGACUUAUUUAACCAGCAGUGGAUAAUUAUUUAAUCAGCGAAAAAAAUAAUUUCAUUCACAUAACAGUCUCCAAAAUUGUUAAACCAAGACGAUCCAAAUCUUCUGGAGUAAUAACUCUAAAACUCUAAACCGGUUUGGAAUAAUGACUUCUAUGAGUUCUCUUAUAAACUGGGUUUCGGCGUGACACUAACUCUUUCAGCCGUGACUAUAGAUUUUCUAAUGGAUUUAGAUCAGGACUAUUUUCAGGCCAAAACAGGACAGUAAUGUCAUGGUAGAUAUAAAGAAAAGCAAAUGGAAUAAUAAGAAAAUAACUGUUCAUAUGUCAAUAUGAAUAUAUUCAAAGAGGAUCGUACAUUUUUGUAAAUAGAUCACUUAUAAUAAUUAUUAUUAAGAGCAAACAAAAUCGUUAGUGCAGCUAGGCCAUAAAACUUGCCGAGUUUUUCAAGAUCGGCCAGUUCCUACUCUUUCAAUUAAAAAAAAAAGAUUGCACAGAUCUAGUCAUGAUUUUUGCUGAUAUUUUUUUGACAAUCUACGCUUGGCUUACCUUUUGGUGUUUACAACUCAUUUAAAAUUGUACUCAAUUCAUACUUAGAUUGAUGUAAGUAUAAAAUUUUACCGAAAAAGCUAUAGCAAACUACAUAACGCAAAUUAAUACAGUGAAAUUCAAAUACCAACAAUAACAUUUUUGUAAUUGAAGUUUUGUUUAUUAGAUAGGCCCUAGCCACUCACUUCUUGUAGUUCAAAUGUGCUUGGAAAUGUUUUUCUAUUUACAUAUUUUUGCAAAUGAAAAAUUUUAAAGUCGCCGACUUUUUAUUGUUUGUAAUUUUUAAACCUUUCUAUGGCUUCUUUUUUUAAUACAUUCAACAAGGAGGAGCUCUACUUUAUUGAAAACCUCUGUUAAAUACAUUUAAGAAAGUAUAGGAAGUAUUUUAUAGUCUUUCUAUAAAAGGUAUUAAUACACGAAAGUCACCUAAGGUAGUAAGUUAUGAGUUAAUGAGGAAUUGAACAUUGUUCAAUUUAUUUUUUCAUUUAUCUGCCUUGGACGACAAAUAAUUGUUUUUGUCGUGAAAAUGUGGUUGAUUUUACACCAUUUGAAGAAUUUUGGUCUAGUCUCAAAUGGGAAUUUCUUGAAUCAAACAAAAUCGACAUCAUUCAAUGUUAGCUUUUUAAAAAUUAGUCUGUCUCUCUAUUUCUCUCCCUCCUUCUCUUGUCGUUUCCCCAUUACUCCUAACAAAUUUUCUUCACUGGUCUCUACCUUCAGCUAUUGUAAGAAUUUCACAGAACCAUCUCGUUGGUGACUUGUGACUUCUCCUCGGAACGUUUUCAGAAACAAUCUCUCUAAAUAAUCGUCCCUUCUGUGUACCAUACUAGUAAAUAACUGUAGAAUUCACUGCAGACAUGUUGUGGAAAGCCUUUUUAUAUUUUCAGGUUGGUUAAGAAUGGAAACGUUUGUCCGCUGAGUUGACAAAGGUAUGCGCAGGCGCAGCCAUCGUCUCUAACCGCAUCUCAAAGGCAUCCAUUUUUUGGCGUUCUUAUGCGCAAGAGUCCAAAUUUCUGCCUCGUUUAGAAAUGCAUUGACCGGCAAAAAUUAUUUCCAUUAAAAAAUACAGAUUAAUAUACUUUCACUUAUUCGUUGACGGUUGUUUUCUUGCAGUCAGUCGAAUAAGGAUAACUUUGCUUCUCUUGUAAUGUUUCUGUAAUGAAUUUUGCCAAAAUACUUUUCUUGUCAAAAGAAUUUUGAAAAUUGUUUUCUGAAUUCCAAAUAUUUUUACAAUGUCUUCCAUACUCUAUCCAAACAUUUCUGCAAACCAUUCUGAGGCUCCAUUUUUUCGAGUAAAUGAAAAUUUGGUAAAUCGUUUUUAAAAGAUUAAUUUUAUCCACUCCCCACAUAUUUUUUGUAAUUCUUAUAUACUCUGUAUACGGUACAAAUACAUAUUAUAUAUUUAUUUAUUCUAUCUUCUGCAUUGUUAAUCAGUAUUUGCAAUACCCUUAUAUAGUUGAAAGCAAUUAUAACAGGUGUAACAACAAACCAUUUAGUUAGAAUUAUUUCGCGAUCGGAAAUAGACAGUUCUUUAACAUCGCCUUGUCCUUGCUGUUGCAUUAGUUAAUCCGUUAAGGUAAAUCCCGUUCAUCACAAAAGUAUUUCCUUUAUCUACAGAUGUGCACAUGUAUUUUGUUCACACUUGUAAUAAAAAAUUCGAAACUACAAUUUAUAAAUGUAAAUACUAGGGAUAUAAAGAAUAAAGUCAAUUUACUUAACUAGGGGUAAAAAAUAAAAGCAAUUUCAAUAAUGUAACAGGCGCAACUUCCGUGCUUUUCUACAAGUCUUGCUGUUUACAGUAGAUUACACCCAAAACUCGAUUUUCACAGUCUCUUAAAACUAUGUGCAACAAAUAUAGCAGUGUGGCCAGACCCAGAUUUAGUGAAAUUUCACUAGAUUUAGUAAUUUUUUAACAAUCUAAUGAAAUAGUUAUCUUUUCAAAAUAGACACAAUUCUAACGAUUUUUGGAAGUUUCUAUUAGGGAGCUCGCAAACCAAAAGCGAUAUCCUUACAUCGCAUAACAUACAUUUCGAAAAGAUACGCACUGAGUGUCACAUCUGGUUUUCGGUGAACGAAAUUCCACCGAAAGUCACCGAAGAUUCACCGAAAACCAGAUGUGACACUCAGUGCGUAUCUUUCCGCAAUGUAUGUUAUGCGAUGUAGGGAUAUCGCUUUUGGUUUGCGAGCUCGCUUAUAUUGAAUUCACCGAAAACCAGAUGUGACACUCAGUGCGUAUCUUUCCGCAAUGUAUGUUAUGCGAUGUAGGGAUAUCGCUUUUGGUUUGCGAGCUCGCUUAUAUUGAAUACUCUUGCUACGUAUAUUACAAAAAAUAAUUUUUAUUUUAUUUCACCUGUCCCAACUGACGGUUUCGUUGUAACCACUUAAAACAGUGGUUUAUCUUUUAUUUCUGUUAUUAUUAAAAAAAUUUCAGGAGUAUUUUUAAUACCUUUGUAUCAAAAUUAUUCAUUUAAUACUUCCACGUAUGUAUUGUUUAUUUAUCACUUUUACAAAGAAAGAGAAAUCCCCAAAGAUUCCUAAUAUUUUCAAAAAGAUAAAGGUUGUUUUAUCUAUUUCAACCAGAUAACUUUCAAGCAGAUAACCUUCAACCAGAUACGUUUUAUGUAAAUAUUAUAACCUAAAUACCUAUUCUCGAAAAUGUAAUAAAACUUAAUUGUUUCGUAAUGGCUGAUGUGAGCACUUUGGUCCCAAGCAUUUGGUUCUUUUGAAUUAUCGUUGUUUGAAAUCUUAUUUCAGCAUAAUUAUUAAGGACUUUAACUUUUGAACCUUGAUAAGUCCAAUAUAGGGAAAUCCCCUGAAAAGUUCAUAGAAUUUUUUUUAAAUCUAGUGAUAUCUAGUGAUUUUUUCAGCGAAAUCUAGAAACUUUUAUAAAUUUGACCUGGCAACACGUAGUAUACAGUGAUGAGUGAGCUAAUAAUCGGCAAAAUAACGCAAAAGCUGGAAAACAUAAUGCAUUGCGAGACAAAAAGAAAUGAAAGUAGUGGAGGUGGAAAUUAUCGUUAUAAACGUAUAAAUUAACAUUACAUAGUUUCCCACCUUUAGACGUAUCAGAGGAGUAUGACAACUGUCAUUGCGACAGUAGAAUUUUAUAAAAUUCUCCUGUCACAGACGUCCAAAGGUGGGAAACUAUAUAAUGUAAUGUUAAUUUAUACGUUUAUAACGAUAAUUUCCACCUCCACUAGUUUCAUCUCUUUUUGUUCCGCAAUGUAUUAUGUUUUCCAUCUUUUGCGUUAUUUUGCCGGUUAUCUCUCAUCACUGUAUUAUAAUGAUUGAAAUUGAAAUCUGCAAUAAGUGGUACCUCAAUACAGUUAAGGUGCACAAAUAUACUCAACAGGAGCGAACGAGUUAGCUCAUUUUUUAGAUUGUUUUAAUUUAAAAUUUUAAUAUUAAAAAAGAGUAGUUCAAUAUUCUUGGUCUCUGAUAUUGGUUUACUAAACUACUUAACCUUUCUUUUAUUUUGCAUCUUAUUUAUUUGCACCAGCCUCUUUAUUUAUUUAUGGCGUCCGAGUAAUUUGCUCGACUAUUUUGGCUGCUUUCGGUUAAAUAUAAUAAUAUAUACUUAACAUAUAAGAAAAUUGUACAUGUGUUUAUUGAGUUGAAAGCACCAUCAGAAUCCUUACUCUUUGAACCAUCACACUAUCCCUAAUCACUUGUUUCAAGUAGACAGAACUGCCUACAUUCCGUAUUAGCUGUGCAUCGAGUAUCUUUUUAACAGUAUAAUAAUUAUAAUACGUGUGAUUCAAGGACCAAUGCGUCUGCCAUCGUUGGAAACAACCUUGGUACAAGACGAAACUAAGAGCUACAUGACACUCCAACUGUCACAUUUAAGGCAACUGUUUUAUGAUAUUUCGUUUGAUUGAUUGUUUUGGUUUCAGGAAGUUUUAUUUUUAAGUAUUAUGUUUUAUAUGCUUCUAAUCUAGUGUUGAAACCUGUUUUGUUGGCCAAUACAUUAGUCAGUAUUUAAACAUGCAAAGGAUGGGAGUUAUUGUAUAAAUGAAAAAUUAAAGAGCAGCAAAAACCACUGAGAAAUCAUUUGAUAUUUUCUUAUUUGGCUUUUGACACAUUCUUGUCACCACUAUCAUCAAUUAAUUUGUCUAAAUCAGCUUUUGGACAUAAUCGCAGCCUCUAUUGCUUAUUUAUUUCUGUGGUUUUCCGGGUUCGACUCCGCGUUGAAUAAUUUUGCGUUUUAGAAAAAUGACGUAAGUCAGAUUAGUUCUGCUUUUCUCGAUAUUUGAGAAGAAAGGAUUUCUGGGCGCUAUGCCCUGUGUUUAAAUACCUUGCUGCGCUGCUUGUAGUCAAAAUGCUCAGCCCUAGAAGCUGGGCAGAACCACCUUUCAGUUUCAGUUAUGCAUUCCUCCAGCGUGUCCACGAUGAUAUCCCGAGACCACACGCAGAGUUUGGUAAUAUUAAAGCGGAGCUGAAACAGUUAACUUUUUGCUUGCUCCUGAACACCUUGCCUCCCUUCGGGUCGACGCCAUUCUUCAUGUUUCUUUCUCUAGAAUGGCCUCUUCACAUAUCUCUGAACUGCUCUCUACCGAUCUGACGACCUAAGCAUUUCUUCCACUAUCUCCAUGACUGAUUGCACCCUACCUCCUAGCUCUCUCUCUCUCUCUGUUUCUCUGUCAAUCAGGCUCCUCUCAGCUAUUCAUCUAUCGCAUACCAACAGAGUAUGUGAGGCAAUGUCCGAUAUCACACAGUACAAGUCACCUUCUGUCUUUACAAGGUAUUAAAUAAAACUUUGUAUAUUACUUAUCAUCAUGCAACCUUUUCCGUCCACUGCUGGACAUAGGUAUCUUCCAUUUUUCGCCACUCUUCACGGUUCUGUGCAUCUUGUUGUCAUUUCUUAGACAUUCGUUUAAUAUCGUCCAUCCAGCGUGUUGGUGGUGGACCUCUGCUGCGUUUGUCUUCUUUUGGGCGGUAGACAAAUAAGUUUUCUGGUCUAUCUUGAGUCUUUUAGUCUCGAUACGUGACCUGCCUAAUUCCAUUUCAGCUUGGCUAUGCGUUCGACCAUAUCAGUGACACCUGUUCUUUUCCUCAGGUCUUGGUUCCUUAUUUUGUCUUUUUUUGUCACGCUGGGAAUCGAUCUUUCCAUGCACUUUUGUGCCACUCGCAUUUUUAGUGCUGUUAUAUUUGUGAGCGUGAAAGUUUCUGCUCCUGUAUAAUAGGAAGGACGCAUUGGUCAAAUGUCUUCUGUUUCAUAGGUAUCGGGAUGUUGCUCUUUUAAAGAUGUCUCUUAGUGAACCAUACGCCGCCCAAGCAAUUCGUCAUUGAAAUUUACAGGUCUGAUUAUCCUUGCUUAUUUUGAUUUCAUGACCGAGAUAUAAUAUAAAGGGUGUCCCCGAAAAUAGUGCGUUCCUUAAAGGUAUAGGUAGAAGGCAUAAUGUAGAGCAAAAAGUCUUAUAACAUUUUUUUCUAAAUUGAUCCGUUUGACCAAAAAACGAAAAUACAUUUUGAUAUGCAAAUUGAAGUCUGGCAACAACGCGCAACUCAAAAAUCUAAAGAUUAAAAAAGUAGGUUUGUAGGUCAGUUGCAUCUGGUAGGUAAAAUAAUGUAAAUAUCAACCAAACCCUUAGAGUAGGGAGAAUUUUUAAAAUUCUCCCUACUCCAAGACCAAACCCAUAUCCAUUAUUUUACAGGUAGGUACCUACGAUGUCAACAACUCCAAAAAUCACACCUCGAAGUAAAUAAAAAAGGGGUUAUUUGGUUAAAUUUCCACAGUCACAGCAAGUUCUUCUAGGCUACGUUGCCAUGUCAUUCAAAUUUGUUAAAAUAAAAAUUCACUUAUAUGGAGAACAAUGUAAUUUUUUUCUUGGAAACGGUUAACUUUAGAAAAAAUGUUAUAUAACUUUUUUGUUCUAAAUUGUGUAUUAUAUCCAUACCUUAAAGGAACGCACUAUUUUUGGGGACACGCUGUAUAUUAUAUACAAACAAAGGAAGUUUAUAUUAUGUACUUUUCUGUCAAUUCGACCACUUGAUUUUGGAUGGUUAGGUGUUUGCUGGGAACUAAAUUUUUCAUAAAUUUGGUCUUACUUAUGUUCAUUUUUUACUUAUGCUUUUAUACUUUUACUUUAUUACUUAUGCCAUCGUAGAAUAAAUUAGAUUUGUUGAACUACAUACCCAUCCUUUGAAUUGCCUUAAUACUAAGUAGCUCAUUUUAUCGUUGUUUUAAAAUCUUAGCUUAGCUAAAUUUCUGCGUUAGCUUAUUUUUAAGGAAACUAGGGAAGGAAGCUUCCCGUAGCGUUUAAAAUAAAAGACAUCCCCGUUUCAGUAUUUUAUUUGGACUGAUUCGCUCUUAGUUUCGUGUCGCUCAUUUUAAAAGAAUGGUUCAUACUGAUGUUUUUAUACUAUAACGUAAAAAAUAGUUUUUAGUCUUAUAAGCCCGAUUCGGACGCAGUCUCUAGAACUACCUUGUGAUAGUUGUUAGGCAGCUAGAAUUGCGUCGGUUUUGCCAAGUUGCCAAUCGUUAUAUUUUCUGUAGAAUAGUUUACAAAACUCUGUAUGCACUAAUGUAACGCUUCCAUUUCCAUUUGGGGUUACAAGUUUAAAUAGUUUCUUUUCAUUAUAAGUAGUUUACUUGUACCAGAGUAUACCUAACAAUUAGUAUUCCCACUCAGAUUUGGCGGCAAAGAACACGUAUGUUUACUGCGCAGACGGUGACGUCAUUUACUGCGCAGACAGCAGCGUCAUUUACUGCGCAGACAGCUCUUGUGUUUUCAGUGAGAUGUAACUAAAGUAUCUUAAUUAACUGAUUCAAAACUCUGUAUUUGAUUUUCAAAUGAAACUUUGGAUUUUAGUCUAUUUGACAACCACACAGCUUUAAAACUACCAUAUUUACUAAAAACUGUCCAUUUGAUUUUUUAUAGUUUAUAAGACAGUUAUGUAACAAAUAGUUGUGAAACUUUAGAAAUCAAAAUCAUAGAUAAAACGCAGUGAAAGAAAUAUUUUACAUUAAAAAUAUAUAAACAUUUUCAAUUUUGUUGCAGCCCGAAAUCGCAGCAGCAUUAUAUUCUAGUUCAAUCAGAAAUUUUCUACAUCUGCUAAGAAAAAGACUAAGUUUUCAAUCUAAUAACACAAACUACACAGCUUUAAAACUACCAUAUUUACUAAAAACUGUCCAUUUGAUUUUUUAUAGUUUAUAAGACAGUUAUGUAACAAAUAGUUGUGAAACUUUAGAAAUCAAAAGCAUAGAUAAAACGCAGUGAAAGAAAUAUUUUACAUUAAAAAUAUAUAAACAUUUUCAAUUUUGUUGCAGCCCGAAAUCGCAGCAGCAUUAUAUUCUAGUUCAAUCAGAAAUUUUCUACAUCUGCUAAGAAAAAGACUUUUCAAUCAAAGUUUUCAAUCUAAUAACACAAACUGACAUUAAAAUAUCAUUCUAAAUCCCAUCAGAUUGAAAACAGGGGAACCUUCUCUGGUCACAACCUCCGAGGCUUCUAAAAAAUGCAAGCCAUAUGGCUGCCAAGACUAUAGGAAGAUGGGGGGAUUUUACAAUUCAUAAUUCACGUCCCAUCUGCUCAGCAUGGAAAUAUUUUACGUUUUUUUUUUAAAUUUCCCGAAAAAUGAAGUAGUAACAAUUAGAGAGUUUUGAAAUUGAUUAACUGCUACAUAUGCAUGUAUCCAUUUCGUUAAAAAUUGUUUCAAAAUAAAUGAAAGUCUGCUCUAUCGCGUCCAUAUGUGCAGUGCUAUGCCUGAUUUACCCUCGCACAAUAUGGCGUCAACGUCACCGAAUUUGUAACUAAAGAGAUCAAAGGUACCGCGUCAGAGAGAGUACUGAUUGUUAGGUGUACUGUGCUUGUACAUUCUAGUGAGUUGGUGUAUAGGCUCUUCUUAUAAUUUAGACAGUUUAUUAACAUCUAACACUUCACCAGAUUCUCUGUUAUAUAAAAUCUUUCAGAUUAUUGUAUAUAAUAAAACAACGUGACAUUUUAGUUCAUACAGAGCAUUAAAAAUGUUGAGUACCUUGUAUAUUUGACUGACCCCUUUUUAGCAAUAAGUUUUAUUCGCGGCAGCUUUUUGAUUGCGUUUCGUUCCAAUAGUAAGGAACUCAUACCUUUGAAAAGGACAUUCAAGGUACAUAUUCAUAUUUUUAGAAUAUAUGCACCUACGUGCAUAAGUUCUAGGUAGCUUUUAAUAUGAUGACACUUGAUUUCAAGUUAUUUUAUUUAUGGUCACUGAAGUGCCAAAUUUUAAGUAUUAUAACGUUCGAUUUGCAACUUUGCAUUGAUUAAAAGGAAACAAGGAAAGUAACUGCUUUUUUAAACGAAAUUGAUUGAAACUCGCACACUUAACGCUGAUAUCGAUUUCAGGUACCAAAUGUAAGAGUCCAUGUUACCUUAUUCACUUCUUAAGAUAUUUUUUAAAUGUAAUAAUUUUGGAUGAUAAAAUAUACGGGUAGCGAAAUAUCAUAACAGAUAUGGAAAUAACGGAAAAAUAAUCCACUGUCCUUCAUAAUAUAAUGUUUUUUUAUGUUAUUCAAUUAGGUUUUUACUUCAUUGUAAUAUUUUCUUUGUUUAGAUUUAAUCUUCCAGGAUUAAAUUUCUUUAUUUAGGAAUUGCUUCCAAUAUCUCUUUAUCUAGCUUGUUGUGGCCACAAGACUGUCUGGAAGAUUUACUAUGUUCUGCAAACUGGCAGCUCUAUCUGUUCCAUGGUCUCUCCAUUGUUAAUCUUGGUUUUACGCCUUCUGCCUGUAAUUUCCAUAUCCAAUGGUAUUGCUUCAUGCAUGAUCUCGUAGUGUUACAUAACAAUAUUUGACAUAACACGAAGAUCUGCUCUAUUGCAAACUCACCCAUAGAGCUCUGUAGAUGGCGUAGCAUAAUUUAUUUUUGGAUUUUUUCUCUAUUUAUUUUAUAGGCUGGUAAUUUUUCUUGGAUAUCACCAAUAUUAGUGUUCGUGUUGAUUAACCUACUAUAUUCAGCAUAUGUAAAUUAAUACUUGUCUUUUAAAAGGUUUUAGCUGUUGGUGUUUCUUUUAUUAAUUUUUGUCGGUGAAAUUCCGGGCAAUCUUUCAAAUUAAUGGUGAAAUGAUCUCCCAUGCAACUAAAACAUUUUGGUGUUAUUUCUUCUUCCGCACACUCUUUCGAGUUAUGGUCUUUGUUACAUUUAUAGCGUCUGGGUCGAAAUUUACAUUGGUUUCUGAGGUGCCCAUAACGCAAACAAUUAAAACAAAGUAGUACUUUUUGUUUGUAUGAUUCUACCUCUUUUAUAACUUUAUUGAUAAUGGUAUAUUUAGGUAAUAUUUGUGUUUUGAAACUAACAACACAUGAUUUAUGUAGCUGGCACAAACUCUGUCAUUUCAUCUUUUGUAACUUUACGAUUUAUUCUUUUAACAUUUAAAACUUUCAAUGGUAAAUGGUGAUCAUAUGAUUUAAUUUUAUUUUUAAGGUAAUCUUCAGAAAAUUCCGUCUCAAUGUCUCUUAUUACACCCUGUCUGACAAUAAUAAAUUUGGGAACAUAAAUAUCUAAAUUGUUAUCAAUAAAUACUUUAUCGUUUUUGUCGCUGAUAAGGUAAUUAGCGUUUUUUGGAUCCUUCAUUUUAAUGCGAAUUCUAUUGCGACCUAUUUAAUUGGUCUUUACCAAAGCCAUCAAAUUAAAUAAAAAAAAGCUGUUGGUGUGUCUUUACAGAUUGGUAAAGAAAAUUUAGAAAAAGCUAAUUGAUCUUUACCAAAGCCAUCAAAUUAAAUAAAAAAAAAGCUGUUGGUGUGUCUUCUGGCUAUACGAAAUAUAUACCUAAAUUUACAAAGCGUAUGAUAAAAUAUAAUCUUCUUCUAAUGGCGCUACAACCCUUUGUGAGUCUUGGCGUGCUUAACAAUGUUCUUCCAUUCUGCCCUGUCGGAUAUUUUCCUUGCCACUGCCUGAUAUUCAUGGUUUUUAAGAUCCCCUCUACGUCGUCUAUCCAUCUUUCACGGGGCGUUCUUGUUCUAUUUCCUUGGAGCUUCCAUCUCUGGAUUACUUUCACAGCUCGAUUAUCUGGCAUAUCAGAGCUUAAAAAAUUGUUUCGCUGGCUGAGAAUUUUAGAGAUUCAAGAUCCAAAUACUUAACUUCACGUUCAUAGUUGGCACUGAAUGUACUUAAUUUUUUUGUCUAACAUGUUUUUGUCUAUAUACCAUGAAUUAAGUUGAACCAAUUUAGAAUUUGCUAAUUGCAUAACUGAAACCUGAAUUCGAUAUCAGCAUUCAUAUUAUAAACAAUUUCACUAUAACUGUGUACAUUCCAGUCAACAAAAUUUUUGGGACAUGUGAUCGUUGCGAACAAAUUUUCAUAACCAAAGAGCAAAUAAACGAACAAAAAGUUGACUUCGAGAAUCAUUGUAAACGUUUGCGUUCCUUAUUUUCUUUAACCAUUCAAGGGCAUCUAGAGUAGGUAACUGUAAAUUAUUAUCAAGUUGACAAGCAAUAAGCAAUGUGAGACAGAAUGAACAACCCUCUAUUUUUGUAUCCAAUUAUAAUUGUUAAGACAAAUAAAAUGGUUUAGUUUCACUUGUUAGUAAGUGAACCCUUACUGAAAAAAGAACUGUAAAUAGUAGUAUUUUACUCAGAGGGUCUGAAUGAUUGUGACAAACCAAGUGGUCAGGAAAAUACAUUUAGGUGUUAAGUCGAACCUAGGACAAAUAAUCCCUGGACAAGUAAUCCCGGACAAAAAAUCUCUACAAAUUAUUCCUGGACAAAAAAUCCCCAGACAAAAAGUCCCCACCUAAAAUUCCGCUCAAUAAUCCUCAAUUUUUUUGGACAAAAUAUCCUCACAAAAAAUCUAGGACAAAAAAUCCGCAAGACAUAUUUGCUGCUGAAUAGUUCUGAAAAGUUUUCUCGUGAACGCAAUCGACGCAAAUGUUUUUCAGCCUCAGUGCAUGAGAGUUAUAGCAAUCGCCAUGAAACCGCUUUUCGGCACGAAAAUAAUGAUUAGCCCAAAAAUGAAUAACCAUUUUCAAUUUCGUUGCAACACGAAACUACAGCCGCAUCAUCAUUCCAGUUCAAUCAGAGAGUGCAGCAAGCACCUCUACCGGUUUCGAAACUUAUUAGUAUAUCAUCAGGAGGCACAUAUGUUGCUCUCUCUGACCCAACUAGGACAAACCCCGGCGUGCAGUCACGGAUUGCAACGAACGAAAUGGCAGAGAUGCCCUAGCGGCAACUGCUAUCAAAAAACUAAGUUUUCAAUCUAAUAGCACAUAAAUCAACAUCCAAAAAUGUCAUUCUACAUCCUAUCAGAUUGAAAACAAUGGGAACCUUAUCUGGUAACACCUCCGAGGCUUCUACAAUUUGCAAGCCAUAACGGAUGCUGAGACUCGGGAAGAUGAGGGAGUUUUACAAUUUAUAAUUCACGUUCCAUCUGCUCAGCGCGGUAUAGUUCCAACGAGAAUGGUUUUCUUAUAAUGAUUACCAUUUAAGAUUAAACAUGAAUUGUAAUUUCGAUUACCAAAUUUCGAAUUCCAACUGGUUUUCCCCAGUACGGAUUCAUGCUCUAAAGUUCUAAUUUUCCAUGACAAAAGAGUGAAUUUUUUCAAAAAUCGUGGAAAAUGUGGGGAUUAGUGUGCGAUGAACUAUGAACAAAGCAACAAUGAGGAAAACAAAUAUGCGUGUUGUUUAAAAUUCGUUACAUGAUACAAAUUGUUGGUACAUGAUACGUGUUGUUUUUGGAAUAGUUGAAAUGUGUAAGCGAACACACUCAGAAAUAAUGAUUUUUUGGUAUCUUCAGAGUGGGACUGAAUGUUGCUUGCAUUGAAUUGAAUCUGAUGACUAAAUAUUUUAUGCGUAAAAUUUACCAAAAAGAACCAAUUAAAUUUACUAUUCUAACUGGGAAAGAAGCCACAAUUUAAGUUAAAAAAUGAGUUUAUUGACGUUUCGACUUCCACUUCGGAGGUCGAAACGUCAAUAAAAUCAUUUUUAAAGUUAAAUUGUGGCUUAUUUUCCAAUUAGAAUAGUAAAGUACGUCAAUGCCACAAAUACAUAGCUACAGAACCAUAUUAAGAACAGGUUCUUUUGCAUUACAAUAAAAAGAUCGUUUUCAGGACCAGCAGUUAUCAUCACGAAUAGGCAAUGUUUUGAUUCAAAGCAGAGUGAGAAAAAGAUUUAAGCGAAUAAUUACAACAUGAUUCCUACGGCCUUAGCUCAUUCCCCGUAUUUUCCAUGAUUUUUGAAAAAAACUCACACUUUUUUGUCUUUUGUCGUUUUCGGCAUGAAUGCAUGAAUCCGUACUGGGGAAAAUCAGUUGAAAAAGGAAAUUGGAAAACGAAAUUACAAUUCGUGCUUAAUAUUAAGCGCUAAUCAUUAUUUUCGUGCCGAAAUGCGGUUUCAUGACGAUCUUUUAUUUUUGACGAUACUUUUGUGCAUUUGGGUCGAUUGCGUUCACGGGAAACUUUUGAGAACUAUUCGACAGCAAAUAUUUCAUGGAGAUUUUUUGUCUGAAAUUGAUUGUGGGGAUAUUUUGUCCAAAAAAAUUGUGGGGAUUUAUUUACCGGAUUUUUUUGUGGUGAGUUUUGUCGGUGGAUUAUUUUCUGGGGAUUAUUUGUGGGAAUUUUUUGUCUAGGACUAAUUUGGGGGAUUAUUUGUCCGUACACGGUUAAGUCGUAUCGACAAAAUAAGAAUAGCCGUUUUAUGGAGACUGACUUGUUUUCAUAUAAAUAUAGUGAAUAAUCUAAAAAGUAAUACUUUCAAUGUGGUAUUAGCUAGUACCAACUAGAUAGCGUUGCUCAAAUUGCAAUAAUUUUGAGGAUAUUUCUUUGGAGGUGUUGUGCUUCUAUGUUAACACGAUUAGUUUAUGAUUUUGGACAUUUUCGAUAAUCCUUCAAAAGCUUAGUUUGCUCAAUUGUUAAAGCUGUAGUACUUUUUAGUAUUGUUGACCGAACAAUCUUCAUAAAACUGAUGCAGGCUAUCCGUAAACGUUAAGGAAUUAUUAGAAAUUUUUGAUAAAUCGCUCAUACUCUCUCAAUACGGAUAUUAAUCUCUGGUGGACUAUCAAAAACUUCUAGUAAUUUUUGUAUUUGUAAUUGUUACACAAACAUAAACUUUUAGCUGUUUGUCGUACGUAUUUUAAAGUUACUGUAGCUAUAAGUAACGUAUAAUUUUUUCAUAGACAUUAGUUCUUAGUGUAUGUAGUAUGUAUCUCUGUGUGUAGUGUAGUAUGCGGCGAACAGUCGCAGAUGCACUGUAGUACAGUCGUUCUGAAUAAAGUAGUUUCAUGAAA
This 17938-nucleotide unclassified non-coding RNA is filed under the name Diabrotica virgifera virgifera (western corn rootworm). RNAcentral describes it as "rNA-binding protein Musashi homolog 2-like". The record is from RNAcentral. Lineage: Eukaryota; Metazoa; Arthropoda; Insecta; Coleoptera; Chrysomelidae.